This is a long non-coding RNA of Nelumbo nucifera (sacred lotus), 2115 nucleotides long. RefSeq lists it as uncharacterized. NCBI's taxonomy places the organism in Eukaryota, Viridiplantae, Streptophyta, Magnoliopsida, Proteales, Nelumbonaceae. The record is from RefSeq and is a predicted model, not a curated record.
UCUCUCUAUCUCAGUCGACUCUCUCUCUCUCUCUCUCAUUGGUUCUCUCACUCUCGUUCGCUCUCUAUCUCAAUAUCUCUCACACGCAGUCGGACAUCAGCAUUUGGCAAGUAUCUCAUUCACACAUCGGCAACAUUUGAUUGAGGAAUUUAAGGGUAAGGUUGGUGGUGUUAAAGUUAAAUCCAUUGACACAACUGGUGCUGGUGAUGCAUUUGUCAGUGGGAUACUGAGCAGUUUGGCAUCUGACCUAAAUUUGUAUAAGUGGCCGAUCAAGCUUGACAGGGGGCUGUAAAAUAAAAACAGUGAUUUGAUGACAAACCUUACAUAAGAUUUGCGGUUGUAGUGACUUGAGGGAAACAGGGUCGAGUUUGGCCUUUCUCACAAGAAUAGCAUACCCAAAAGUGAGAUUCAAUCUCAUGCAAUCUAUAGAGAACUAGCACGACCAUGGAAUUCUAAGUGAAGGUUAACAUGACAGAAAUGAGAUGCUAAGGGAGUCUGCAUUCCACGUAUUGAUUACCAGCUACCAACUGCUGGUAUCCGAUGAAAAGUAUUUCUGGUGUUUGAAAUGGCAAUAUAUGGUUUUAGACGAAGCCCAGGCUAUUAAAAGUUCAAACAGGUUUAACUUCAUCUUCCAGAUUGAUGUGCUUCUGAUUAUUUUAAUUUCAUAACCUUUCUAUAGUGCAUUAGCAGAUAAAUUUCACCUGAUUGUCUUGGUGCAGGAUUUGUUUCUUUUUUGUUGAUACUUAAAAUUUAAUCAGGUGCUUAUUAUUAUUAUCUAAAUAUGAGUUUUAUUUAGCUCUGUGUUAGUAUGCAAAGUAAACUUAUUACAUGUUAAUGAGCAAAUUAUUCACAGGUAAGAAUUAGUUAGGUUCCAAUCUAGUAAGUACGUCAUUUCACAAUCUUCAAUUCUCUGCCAUUAUAUGCAUUAAAUAUAACCCUUACUCUAUGAUUUCCUGUGUUCUUGAUGGUUAUGAUGAAUACAUUAGUUUUGCAGUAUAAGGUGGAAAACAUUGCUCAGUUUCAAUUGUAGAAACCACUUUGCUUCUGACUGGUACACCCAUACAGAAUAACAUGGUGGAGCUGUGGGCCCUUCUUCAUUUUAUAAUGCCCACCUUUUUUGACAGCCAUGAGCAGUUCAAUGAGUGGUUUUCAAAAGGCACUGAAAAUCAUGCAGAACAUGGAGGAACCUUGAACAAACACCAACUCAACAGACUGUUAUGGAAGGCCCCUCUUAAAUCAGCUCAUGCAGCCCUUAUGGAUAUCAGAUCAGGAGGACCCCCCUGGUGGUGGAACUGGAUGGAAUGACAACUUCCAGGAUAUCAAUUCUUUGAAAGCCAAACAAUUCCUGCAAAGAAUGGUCUAACACCAUCCAACCCCAUUUCAGAGCACAGUCCGCUACCACAAUCAAGUAACUACAAGCAAGGAAGGUUUUGCUUUGAGAACCUUGAGGCCCUUACACCAAGAUCUUCAAAAUCAUCCAUGCCCACAAGAACGAAACUUAGACCAACUCUAUCAAGUCGAGCGCCACAAACAAGUAUCUCCACCCCAGUGAAGCAUCCAAAGCAAAGAACAAGUGCAUCUGAAGUUUAUACAUUGAGAGAUGAUGAGAGCCUCACAAGCUACCCGCCAUUUUCCAUGCCCAAUUACAUGGCACCAACAAUUUCUUCUAAAGAAAAAGUGAGAACUCUUAGGAAUCUCAAAAAGGGGACACCAACUCCAAGUCAAGAAGCAAAGAGACAACUAUCUUUUCCUUUAACCCAAAGCAUUGGAUCUCUGAGGUGGAACAAGUGCUCUCUGUUCUCAGACAAGGAUUCCAUGUCUCAAAGGAUAUCAGGGAAGCAUAAGUCUACCCCUUCAAUAGGUAAUUUGAGUGUGGAUUCCACCAUAUCUUCGCCUGUUGGAGUUGGAAGGAAGCCAUUCAAGUGAAUUUGUGUGAUUUUUCUAUCUUUAGGCUUAUAUUUCUUUUUCUAUUUUAUUCUUUUUUUUCUUCUUUGGUGGGUGUUUUGCUUGAGAUGUUUAAACUAAAGUCUUGUAUAAUUAGUGCUUGUAUCAGAAAUAAUAAAGCAACAUUAGGGAGUGAUAAAUUGAAUGCAGAAUCCUCACUGUUAAAUUGUA